Molecule: RNA transcript, 2840 nt
Organism: Vigna angularis (adzuki bean)
Lineage: Eukaryota; Viridiplantae; Streptophyta; Magnoliopsida; Fabales; Fabaceae
Gene name: BEL1-like homeodomain protein 1
Exons: 9
Source: RefSeq, a predicted model, not a curated record
GUUUGGAGAAGAGAGACAGAGAGUUGCAGAGAAUACUGAUGACAGGAGCAAGCAAGAAGCCAUGAACGAAGCUGAAGCUCUCAGAACUGAAACCAAAACGGAUCCAUCGAACAACCCUUUUAUCUGCAUCCUCUACCCCGCCAUGAGGGACACUUUCUCUAUCUAGAUAGCACCUUUCUACCUUCUUCUCUUCUCUUUUCUUCCUCAAUCCAUUUAUUAAUUCACCAAAUGUGUGACUGAGGGAGAGAGAAAGUAGAAUACAAGAACGAAAAGCGUAACAUGGCGACGUACUUUCAUGGAAGCACUUCGGAGAUUCAAUCUUCUGCAGAUGGCUUGCAAACGCUUUACCUUAUGAACCCAUCUUACGUACCUUAUGCUGACGCGCCGCACCACCCGACACUUCUCGUCAAUCCCAACGCUACCAACGCGCUCAACCUCGCGAGUCUCACCCACGCGCCGCCGGUGUCGCCUUCCCCCAACCAGCAGCAGCACGUGAUUCACGGCAUGGCAAACAUCCUCGGAUCCGGGAAUUCCGAUGAGCACGCUCACAGCCGACUGUCGUUGUUCGGGGAAAACAUCGCCGCCUUCCACGGUUUCUCCGGCGGGGCAUCCUCCGCCGCCCCUCGCGUUCACUAUAACCUCUGGGGCUCGGGGGUUGAUCAACCUGGAACGCCUUCUAGCAGCUCCGGCGGUGGCGGUUUCCGGCGGCCCAGUCAGCAGGGGUUGUCUCUCAGCCUUUCUUCACAGCAAACAAAUUUCAGGUCAGUUUCUGGGGAGCUUGAUAUUGCCGGACAGGGCCACGUCGCCGGAACUGGGAACUCGCCGACGUCGGCUGCGUCAACAGGAGUUUCCGGCCUGAUUCUGGGGUCGAAGUAUCUGAAGGCGGCGCAGGAGCUUCUGGAUGAAGUUGUUAACGUAGGAAAAGGAAUCUACAAAGAGGAAAAGUUCUCAGAGAAGGUGAAAGCGAAUAGAGAAUCUACUAAUUCUGGUGCUGGUGGUGGCGAUGGUUCGAGUGGUGGAGGAGAAAACAGUGCAGGAAAACAAGUGGUCGAACUCAGCACCGCUCAAAGGCAAGAACUUCAGAUGAAGAAGUCCAAGCUUGUCAACAUGCUCGAUGAGGUGGAACAAAGGUACAGGCAAUAUCACCACCAAAUGCAAAUUGUGGUAUCAUCAUUUGAGCAAGCUGCAGGUUAUGGGGCUGCAAAAUCAUACACUGCCCUUGCCCUAAAGACUAUCUCAAAGCAAUUCCGGUGCCUUAAAGAUGCAAUCUCUGCGCAAAUCAAAGCCACGAGCAAGACAUUGGGUGAAGAUGAUUGCUUGGGAGUGAAAGUAGAAGGGUCAAGGCUUAGGUAUGUUGACCACCAUCUCAGGCAACAAAGGGCACUGCAGCAGCUAGGAAUGAUUCAGCCCAAUGCAUGGAGGCCACAAAGAGGCUUGCCAGAACGAGCCGUUUCCAUUCUUCGCGCUUGGCUUUUUGAGCAUUUUCUUCACCCCUAUCCAAAGGACUCAGAUAAAGUCAUGCUUGCUAAGCAAACUGGACUGGCUAGAAGCCAGGUGUCAAACUGGUUUAUCAAUGCCCGGGUUCGGCUGUGGAAGCCGAUGGUGGAAGAAAUGUACAUGGAAGAAAUGAAAGAUCACGAACAAGCUAACGGCUCAGAAAACACCAGAUCAAAAGAAUUGAGCAAAGAAGCAAAUGUUGCAGCAGAAUCAGGAGGCAUUAAACUAGAUAACUUUCAACCAAAGCAAGAUAGCUUCAACAACCAAAACACUUCUCCAAAUGAAAUCUCAGCAAAUUCUUCAAUGUCUCCUAUCGGAGGGUCCCUUCAAUCCCACUCUGGUUUCCAUCUUGCAGGAUCAUCUGAGGUGCAAACGAGUCCAAACAAACCCAGAAGAUCGGAAAUGCAAAACUCUCCAAGUAGUAUCCUCUCAGUGGACAUGGAAAUGAAGCAUAAUGGUGAACAUGCAAAUACCAGAGAAGGCAACACAAAGUUCGGCAUCGAAAGGCACGACAAAGAUGGAUACCCUUUGAUGAGUGGCAAUGCAAACCAUGGCGGGGGUUUUGGAGCGUUCACCAUGGAAGACAUUGGAAACAGAUUCAACGUGAGUACUGAGCAACUGGCUUCAAGGUUCCAUGGAAAUGGUGUUUCUCUCACACUAGGCCUUCCCCACAACGAAAACCUUUCUAUGUCAGGAACUUCGCAUGGAUUUCUCUCACAGAAUAUUCAUUUGGGAAGGAGACUUGAGAUGGGAACGAGUGGGAAUGAGUUUUGUGCCAUCAACACUCCUCCUUCGUCUCACUCAGGAACAACCUAUGAGAGCAUUGACAUUCAAAACAGAAAGAGAGGCAGCAUGAAUGAGAGGGAGUAUAAGGAUAUGCGUAAUAUUUUGACUCAAUAGAGUAUGAGAAUUCGAGUCAACAACUUUGGUAAUUAUAAUAAUCUUUCUUAUUCCUUUCUGAACUCCUCUUCGUUAGAGUUUAACGUGAGGCGUAUUAUGCUUUCUACCACUGAUGACGACACUUUAUUCCAACGAACCCACUCUUGGAAGGUAUAAUAGAGUUAUAAAAAAGGAUCACAAAAAUUAAUGUUGUAUAUUGACAAAAUUCGACUUUGUAUAUUAACAAAAUUUGAUGUUAAUUUAAUGUCGAAUUUUUUAGAUUCGACGUUAAUUUAACGUCUCAUGAUAUGACGUCGUUUGCAAAUUUGUCGUUAAAAGUAAAAAAUAUUCGACGUUUAUGCGAUUUUUGUACAUGAUGUAAGAUACAUAGAAGCCAAGGUCGUUUAUGUUAAGUUCAGUUUAUUGUUAAUAAUCUGAAUUGUUGCAAAGACUCUAUAAUCUCA